RNAcentral lists this ribosomal RNA (589 nucleotides) under Lactiplantibacillus plantarum. RNAcentral's name for it is "bacterial SSU rRNA". It matches the Rfam family "Bacterial small subunit ribosomal RNA", at positions 46 to 602 of the family's 1533-position model. Lineage: Bacteria; Bacillati; Bacillota; Bacilli; Lactobacillales; Lactobacillaceae. The record is from RNAcentral.
GCGUAUACUGCAGUCGAACGAGGCUGCGUAUAUGAUUGGUGCUUGCAUCAUGAUUUACAUUUGAGUGAGUGGCGAACUGGUGAGUAACACGUGGGAAACCUGCCCAGAAGCGGGGGAUAACACCUGGAAACAGAUGCUAAUACCGCAUAACAACUUGGACCGCAUGGUCCGAGUUUGAAAGAUGGCUUCGGCUAUCACUUUUGGAUGGUCCCGCGGCGUAUUAGCUAGAUGGUGGGGUAACGGCUCACCAUGGCAAUGAUACGUAGCCGACCUGAGAGGGUAAUCGGCCACAUUGGGACUGAGACACGGCCCAAACUCCUACGGGAGGCAGCAGUAGGGAAUCUUCCACAAUGGACGAAAGUCUGAUGGAGCAACGCCGCGUGAGUGAAGAAGGGUUUCGGCUCGUAAAACUCUGUUGUUAAAGAAGAACAUAUCUGAGAGUAACUGUUCAGGUAUUGACGGUAUUUAACCAGAAAGCCACGGCUAACUACGUGCCAGCAGCCGCGGUAAUACGUAGGUGGCAAGCGUUGUCCGGAUUUAUUGGGCGUAAAGCGAGCGCAGGCGGUUUUUUAACUCUGAUGUGAAAAGC